CCUCUACAUGUAAGCUAUCGCGUUGGGAUGGGCCCAGUUAGGAUUAGCUAGUUGGUAAGGUAAUGGCUUACCAAGGCGACGAUCCUUAGCUGGUUUGAGAGGAUGAUCAGCCACACUGGGACUGAGACACGGCCCAGACUCCUACGGGAGGCAGCAGUGGGGAAUAUUGCACAAUGGGGGAGACCCUGAUGCAGCCAUGCCGCGUGUGUGAAGAAGGCCUUCGGGUUGUAAAGCACUUUCAGCAGUGAGGAAGGUGGUGUACUUAAUACGUGCAUGGCUUGACGUUAGCUGCAGAAGAAGCACCGGCUAACUCCGUGCCAGCAGCCGCGGUAAUACGGAGGGUGCGAGCGUUAAUCGGAAUUACUGGGCGUAAAGCGCAUGCAGGCGGUUUGUUAAGUCAGAUGUGAAAGCCCGGGGCUCAACCUCGGAACCGCAUUUGAAACUGGCAGGCUAGAGUCUUGUAGAGGGGGGUAGAAUUUCAGGUGUAGCGGUGAAAUGCGUAGAGAUCUGAAGGAAUACCAGUGGCGAAGGCGGCCCCCUGGACAAAGACUGACGCUCAGAUGCGAAAGCGUGGGUAGCAAACAG
Molecule: ribosomal RNA, 585 nt
Filed under: Salinivibrio sp. TA41
Lineage: Bacteria; Pseudomonadati; Pseudomonadota; Gammaproteobacteria; Vibrionales; Vibrionaceae
Description: bacterial SSU rRNA
Rfam family: Bacterial small subunit ribosomal RNA
Source: RNAcentral